This 788-nucleotide ribosomal RNA is filed under the name uncultured bacterium. RNAcentral's name for it is "bacterial SSU rRNA". It matches the Rfam family "Bacterial small subunit ribosomal RNA", at positions 8 to 794 of the family's 1533-position model. The record is from RNAcentral.
AGAGUUUGAUCAUGGCUCAGGAUGAACGCUGGCGGCGUGCUUAACACAUGCAAGUCGAACGAAGCACCUUAUUUGAUUUUCUUCGGAACUGAAGAUUUGGUGACUGAGUGGCGGACGGGUGAGUAACGCGUGGGUAACCUGCCCUGUACAGGGGGAUAACAAUCAGAAAUGACUGCUAAUACCGCAUAAGACCAUAGCACCGCAUGGUGCAGGGGUAAAAACUCCGGCGGUACAGGAUGGACCCGCGUCUGAUUAGCUGGUUGGUGAGGUAACGGCUCACCAAGGCGACGAUCAGUAGCCGGCUUGAGAGAGUGAACGGCCACAUUGGGACUGAGACACGGCCCAAACUCCUACGGGAGGCAGCAGUGGGGAAUAUUGCACAAUGGGGGAAACCCUGAUGCAGCGACGCCGCGUGAGUGAAGAAGUAUUUCGGUAUGUAAAGCUCUAUCAGCAGGGAAGAAAAUGACGGUACCUGACUAAGAAGCCCCGGCUAACUACGUGCCAGCAGCCGCGGUAAUACGUAGGGGGCAAGCGUUAUCCGGAAUUACUGGGUGUAAAGGGUGCGUAGGUGGUAUGGCAAGUCAGAAGUGAAAACCCAGGGCUUAACUCUGGGACUGCUUUUGAAACUGUCAGACUGGAGUGCAGGAGAGGUAAGCGGAAUUCCUAGUGUAGCGGUGAAAUGCGUAGAUAUUAGGAGGAACAUCAGUGGCGAAGGCGGCUUACUGGACUGAAACUGACACUGAGGCACGAAAGCGUGGGGAGCAAACAGGAUUAGAUACCCUGGUAGU